Molecule: long non-coding RNA, 740 nt
Organism: Gallus gallus (chicken)
Lineage: Eukaryota; Metazoa; Chordata; Aves; Galliformes; Phasianidae
Source: Ensembl
CUAAUAGUGCAAGCUGAGUUCAUCUCAUAAAUAAGGAUUAUAAAAAGCUCAUUUGAAUGUAUUAGAAAUGAAAGGAACUUAUUUUAUUAUAAGCAGGAGAAAUGCAGCAGUGUCAGCAUGAGUGGAAGAGCUUCUCUUUCCCUGCAGAAACCUACUGCCAGGCUGGAGUUAAACAGCAGACACAGCAGUACCUGGGUGCUGGGAUUACGUUGAAGAGUGAAAUGAAGGCAAAGUGGGUCUGCAAGGGUGGAAAUGAGCUGGAAGCAGAUAGAAAACCUCAGUGCAACCACAUUGGUGGGAUGAGGUGGGAGACACCUGAACUCCAAGGCCCUUCCUGUGCUGCUGGAGGUCUCCCAGCAAGGGCUGGAUGUUCAUCUUGCUGGGGCAUCAUCCAACCGGAGAGCAAAGGCAGUGUCUGCGUGUUUGAAAGAGGGAAGCAGUGACUGGAACAACUACAGGCACAGCAGUGUGAGUGAAGUCCUAUGUGCAGCUGUAGAGCAGGAGGGAAAAAUCAGUGAUUUGGAAGAACAUGGAAAACCAAGGAUAAAUAGAACAUAGGUCAACUCAAGCUAGAAAGCCUUCCUACCAGCCUUGCCUAAAGCUGAGCACUGCUGAUACCACACGGUGCUUUCUGAUGGUGAAGGAGACCCCUCCAGGACCUACAAACCAGAUAAUCUGACAGCAGCGGCCGUCCUCUGCUCCAAGUGCUCUUCCCACCUCUUUGCUUUCAACAAGAGCCC